AUUAAAGUGGCAGAGUAGUGCCUUAGAUUUAAGCUCUAAAAAUAGAUAUUUUAUCUCUUUAAUA
RNAcentral lists this transfer RNA (64 nucleotides) under Paranemertes cf. peregrina SCS-2010. RNAcentral's name for it is "tRNA-Leu". The record is from RNAcentral. Lineage: Eukaryota; Metazoa; Nemertea; Enopla; Monostilifera; Emplectonematidae.